GGCCGCCUGGCGAAAUGGCAUCGCGUCUGACUACGAUUAUGUAAUCCAUUAAUCAGGAGAUUGCAGGUUCGACCCCUGCGGUGGUCA
This is a transfer RNA of 87 nucleotides. It matches the Rfam family "tRNA". From Rfam's summary of the family: Transfer RNA (tRNA) molecules are approximately 80 nucleotides in length. Their secondary structure includes four short double-helical elements and three loops (D, anti-codon, and T loops). The record is from Rfam.